Non-coding RNA from Tinamus guttatus (white-throated tinamou), 95 nucleotides. NCBI's taxonomy places the organism in Eukaryota, Metazoa, Chordata, Aves, Tinamiformes, Tinamidae. The record is from RefSeq and is a predicted model, not a curated record.
UUGGCUUAAUAGUCCCACAUGCAAGAUACUUACUUUACCCUGAGCAUCUUUUAAGAGAUUUGUUCUGUGCAUUCAGGCUGUAAUGGAACGUACUC